GAUGAACGCUGGCGGCGUGCCUAACACAUGCAAGUCGAACGGGUGUGGUAUCAGGGAAAAGGGGUUUACUUCUUUGACCAGAUAACACACUAGUGGCGGACGGGUGAGUAACGCGUGGAUAACCUGCCUUAUACAGGGGGAUAACAGGGAGAAAUUCUUGCUAAUACCCCAUAGGUAUGUCUGACGCAUGUUGGACAUAUUAAAGCUUUGGCGGUAUAAGAUGGGUCCGCGUCUGAUUAGCUAGUUGGUGGGGUAAAGGCCCACCAAGGCGACGAUCAGUAGCCGGCUUGAGAGAGUGGACGGCCACAUUGGGACUGAGACACGGCCCAAAACUCCUACGGGAGGCAGCAGUGGGGAAUAUUGCACAAUGGGGGAAACCCUGAUGCAGCGACGCCGCGUGAAGGAAGAAGGUCUUCGGAUCGUAAACUUCUAUCAGCAGGGAAGAAGGAAGUGACAGUACCUGAGUAAGAAGCCCCGGCUAACUACGUGCCAGCAGCCGCGGUAAGGAGUAGUA
RNAcentral lists this ribosomal RNA (514 nucleotides) under uncultured bacterium. RNAcentral's name for it is "bacterial SSU rRNA". It matches the Rfam family "Bacterial small subunit ribosomal RNA", at positions 28 to 532 of the family's 1533-position model. The record is from RNAcentral.